AAAAAAAAACAAAAAACAGCUCACAAUGACGUCUUUACUUUCUGGCAUUCUGAAACCAUCUAUCGUACCCAAGACUACUUACGACAAUGCGUCUUAUCUUGCAUCAUUCACACUGCAUAGCCACCCACCAAUCACUAACCUCUUCUCAACAUCACCAUAGAAACACACACACUCGAUAACAAUAUUACAAAAAAAAAUAACUUUAAUGCCAGAUAACUUAUUAAAUGGACAAAACAAAAAAAAAAUUAAUUACUUGACGAUAUGACCUUUGUUCGAUCAAGUAUUUACAGCAACGAAUAAUUUUAAAAAAUGUAAAAUACCUUUUCAUGAUUUUUUAAAAUAUCUUUAGCUGUACACAUGCGGUUACAUAUGUAUAGCUUUAAUCCAGAUAACUAAUUAAUCGACAAAACAUAUAUAAACUCAUUUGCAAAAAAAGUUUUAACAUAAUUACAUUUCAAUCGAAAAGUAUUUUAUUAAGAAAAAAGAAUAUAUAUACAUAUAUAUUGUUGUAAACCUGGUGGUGACACAAAUGGGGGUAGUGCCGUGUGUUUUUAGCCUACCCAAAUCGCCACAGUCCAGCGCAGGACGAGCGGUCAACCGUGACCAGUGACAGUACACGCCAGUUCGGCAAGGACCAAUGACGUAAAUAU
Molecule: non-coding RNA, 650 nt
Organism: Biomphalaria pfeifferi
Lineage: Eukaryota; Metazoa; Mollusca; Gastropoda; Planorbidae
Source: the annotation of a GenBank genome assembly